CCAAUACACCUCCCAAAUUACAGAUUAGCCUCGAUUCAUCUGUCGAUCCUUCAAGUAUAUUCUUGUACAGCAAACCAACAUUAGUGGCGGUAAUGAUGGCAAUGGUGGUGGAGAGGGAGAAAAUUUUAGUGGUGGAAGAGGGGAGGAGUAAAAUGGGUUAGAAGUUAUGAGGUGGCAUGCCACAUGGCAUCCACCUCAUCAAAUGUUAGUGCCACGUAGUAUUAGAUGUCCACCUUAGUCAACUUUAACAGUGGAAGGGUAUAUUUGUGCUCAAAGUAUAACGGUAGGGAUAUAUUUGAACCUAAAGUAUAACGAGGGGUAUAUUUGACCAUUUUCCAAUAGUACAGGGGUAUAUUUAGCCCUUUUCCGUUUUACUUUUAUAAAAACAACCCCCAUUUAUUUUAGCCAGCAAACCAAAUUAAAUGACCCAACUACCGUAUAUGUCAAACUUACCCUCAUAAAAUCUCUUCCCUUCUACAGAGAACUCACCAUGUAUUGCUCUUUAAGCUUUCUUGCCAUAGUUUUUCAUCGGAAAAAUUGUGCAUCUUCAAGCAAAACCAACAAUAGCAACAACCUUCUUUGACGAGUUUGAGACAAGAUCUUCUUCGAGGCCCCGAGUCUUCUUGCUUGAGAUCGGAGGGUGAGCCACCAGUCAGCCUGCAGCCCUAGAUCUUAUCUAUUGUUGUCUAUUACUCUAUCAAUUAGACAGUAUUCCGUAUGGUCAGACGAUUGCUAUUCCUAGACUUGUUGGAUUAGUUGUUCUUGUACUAGUGACUUUACGUCUUUGGGGAGAUGUAUUUGACUUAGUAUCUCGCACUUUAUGAUUAUGUAUGGUUAAAGACU
Long non-coding RNA from Lycium barbarum (goji berry), 843 nucleotides. RefSeq lists it as uncharacterized. The record is from RefSeq and is a predicted model, not a curated record. The transcript has 2 exons. Lineage: Eukaryota; Viridiplantae; Streptophyta; Magnoliopsida; Solanales; Solanaceae.